Molecule: ribosomal RNA, 254 nt
Filed under: uncultured bacterium
Lineage: Bacteria
Description: partial 16S ribosomal RNA
Rfam family: Bacterial small subunit ribosomal RNA
Source: RNAcentral
AACGUAGGAGACAAACGUUAUCCGGAGUUACUGGGCGUAAAGGGCGUGUAGGUGGUUUCGUAAGUCUGGCGUGAAAUUUUUCGGCUUAACCGGGAAAGGUCGUCGGAUACUGCGGAGCUAGAGGACGGUAGAGGCGUGUGGAAUUCCGGGUGUAGUGGUGAAAUGCGUAGAGAUCCGGAGGAACACCAGUGGCGAAGGCGACACGCUGGGCCGUACCUGACACUGGUGCGCGACAGCAUGGGGAGCAAACAGGG